This 296-nucleotide unclassified non-coding RNA is filed under the name Hevea brasiliensis (rubber tree). Lineage: Eukaryota; Viridiplantae; Streptophyta; Magnoliopsida; Malpighiales; Euphorbiaceae. The record is from RNAcentral.
AAUUAGGAAAUAAUAAAAAAUUCAAACUAGGAGAAUGGUAAAUCUCAUAUUCCCGUGGAUCUUGACACAAGUUCAGGCUAUUGGUGCAUCAGACAUGGUUUCUGGGCUUCUGGCAGCUGGCGAAGCUCUAGGGAGGUCCACACACCAGAUUCUACUCGUUUCCGAUUGGGUCAAAAUCUAAUCCAAUCAGAUUUCUGUUUCUAGGUAAUGUCAGGCGACUGGACAGGCAUGAUUGAGUUGCCCAGAGGUUGCUAGUGAUCUAGUGGUGGUGACAAGGUUCAGAAAGUUGUGGGCUU